CUCUUGUUAAAAUACGCCGCCACGUGGACUUUAGGAGCGAUGAUGGGGAUGUGCGUGGUGUAGAUCGAACCCACGACGUCUGGGAUUUUAUGGACCGAUUCGAAUUUCUCCUUUGUGGAUUGGAUCUCCGAAUCCGACGGCCAGCGGAGGUACUUCGGCAUGAGGACGUCGUAGAUCGCGCGGCAGACCUCGAUGACCAGCUUGUGGCAGGUGGAGAUCCCGAGCCCGAACCGCUCCGACACGUGGCGCAGCGGCGCUCCAGUAGCUAAACGCCAGACGCAAACGCCGACGCGUUUGGGAGCUGGAAUCGCGUCGCGGAGCAUCGUGUUUUUCUUCGUAACCGUCGCGUCCAGCUCAUCGCAUAUCAGAUUAAACGUGGAUUUGCUCAUCCGAAACUCACGCCGGAACUCUUCCUCCGGAAAAUCAGGGCUGCUCACUCUGUCCCACCAGUCCGUGGUACGCUCCUUCACCCACAGCCUCCUAUGACUUGUCCCGGAGCCGCUAGCGAUAUCAGUCGCCUGAACCGGAGCGGUGGUUGCUUCCUCACCGGAAGCAACCGCGGAGACAACAGCAGCAGCAACGGCGGAUCUUCUUGCACGUUUUGGAGGAGUAACAUCCGUUUCUUCAGCUGUGUUGUAAUGACCUUGCAAUUGAUUGUAGUAACCAUCCAUUGCUCUCACUUUCUCCCUGUGAUUAGCUUCGAGAAGAGACUUCUCUCUAUUGGAUUCAAAGUCCCACUGCUCUUGCUGAUGCUUAGCUUCCUCGUCUAGUAGCAAAAGCGUCGCGAGUAUAUCUCCAAAGGCAGGCUUAUUACUACUACCAUUCACAGCUCCAGCUCCUUCUUCUUGGUCUUCCUUUCUUGGUCGUUUCUUACUGUUGUCGUUACCAAAACCUUCGAACCCGAAAUCAGAAGGAGAAGAAGAGUCCAUGUCCUGAAAUAGACCGAGGAAAUGGGAACACUCGUCGUCUUGUAGGUAUGGAAAUGGGAAAGCAGAUAUUUCCAUUAAAGGAGGAUCCUGAUUUUGACGAGUGUUUUUUUUUUUGGGUUUGAAAAGUGUUUGACUUUAUGUUUAGAUGUGAAAUCAGACUUGAAAGCUCCCAAGUGUUUGAAUUUCGAUGGUUCUGGUUUCAGACGUUUAUAUAAAAAAAAGGUUUAUUUGUCUGCCGAGAAGAGAAGAUUGCAGAGACGAAGGAAGCGCGUGAACGUGUGAACGCGGUGAGGGGAUGGGUUUGACGGUGACUUGACUUUCUUUUUCCAAGUUUUUUAUUAUUAUUUGUCCGCUUUUUUAUUUAGAUAAAGCGUUUACUGGUCACUGUUUCAUCGAGAGAUUGCACCGCGUAAAACUUGUUUGAUAACUCAUGUAAAGACAAAAAGAAAAACAUGUUUGAUUAAGGCGUUAUAACUAUAUUAGAUUCUAUAUGCAUAGUAGUGCACUAACAAUAUGUUACUCGGCUAUAUUAACUAUAAAAUCUGGCAAAAAAUUAUGUUAGUUAUAAUGAAUGGUCGGUCUGUUAAGUCUUCUCGAAGACACCCGAAAGAAUUUUUUUUAGCAAUAUCCUUUACUAUGUUAUGGGUUUAGUUUAGAAACAAUAUUGUAUUCGUAAAGAUGUAACGCUACGUUAUCUUAGAUUAUGAGUAUUGACUAUGUUGAGAAUCGAAAAUAAUGUUAGUUUGAGUUGCUUAACACACAUUAGAGACUGUGGAAAACACCAAAGUUCUGAAUUCAAAAGCUUAGCAAACCUUAUCUACGAAACAAAAGUAAAUGUCAAAAAGUCAAAUUUAGUCAGAGAAACUUAUAAACAUUUUAUUCUAAUUUAUUUGUUUUUGGUUCUAAUGUUACUUAAGUUUCUAGCUUAAUUUUAUUAUAUAGUUAUAUGUAGGCCUGGAACUUUUAUCCGAGAUCCGGAUUCGAUCCGUGAUCCGAUCCGGAUCCGAUCCGAAAAUCCGGAUAUCCGGAAAGGCCGAAUCCGGAUCCGGAUAGUAAAAUGUUGGAUCCGUCAAAGCCGAAUCCGGAUCCGGAUAUCUUGAUUUUUUAGUCCGGAUAUCCGGAUCCGUAAAUUUUAUUAAUAACUAUUUCAAAAAUAGUAAUAUCUAUAUAUAAAAACUAAUUUUAUUUAAUAUAUUUUCAUUUUUAUAAUAGUAUAUAUAAAUUUUAUGUAAAUUUUGUAAUAUUAUACAUAGAAAUAAUUAAAAACAUUCUAUAUAUUUUUAUUUUUAAAUUAUUGUUAAUAUUUUAUAUAUAUUAAUAUUAUUUUUUAUUUAUUUUAAGGAUCCAAAUCCGGAUCCGGAUAUCCGCCGGAUAUUAUAAUNNNNNNNNNNNNNNNNNNNNNNNNNNNNNNNNNNNNNNNNNNNNNNNNNNNNNNNNNNNNNNNNNNNNNNNNNNNNNNNNNUUAAUUUUUUUUAACAUAAAUAGUCAUUUAAAAUGAAAUACGAUAAAUAAAGAUAAAAUUUUUAAGUCUUUUAUAAAAUAAAACACAAAUAUAUGAAAAUGUGACAUUUACUAAAUAUUUGUCAAUUGAAAAAAAAAACAAAAAUAAACCCGCGCUUUGAAAGCGCGGGUCAAAAUCUAGUAUUAGCUUAAAAUUUAAAACAUAUACACAAGAAAAUCGAGUAUAUGAAAUUAAUGCCCAAGUCGAAGAUUAGAUGGAUAUAUAAAAGCUUUAUUUUGCAUUAUUUAAAGAUUUACGCGGUAAGGAAGCAUGGUUGGUGUGUCUUGUACUCUUUAAUUGACAUUUUCGGAAUUAUUCUUAAUAUCUAGUUACUCAUAUUUUUAAUACUGAUUUGGACUGCUUUAGAGAAAAAAACACGUUUCUAAAAGAGGAUAAGAAGUUUCUUGGAAGUGGCAAAUUGGUAAAACUAAGGACCCUAUUCCUUUGUACAUCUCAAAGAUGCAUCCAGAUGGUCCAUCUAGAUGUUUUAUCCAGAUGUUUCAUCUGAGUGUUGUUCGUUUUUUCAUUUCGUCCAUGCAUCCAAAAUCAUCUGAAUGCAGCUAUGUUCGUUUUUUUAACUUGCAUCUGCACCCAGGUGGACGUGUUAAUAAAUGACUAAAAUAUAUUUUUUAUGUUUCGACGGAAAAAAUAGCAUUUUUACGGUUUUGGUGGAAAAUACGUUUUUAUGGGUUUGGCGGAAAAAAAGUUUUUGCGGUUUGGUGGGAAAAGUACGUUUUGCGGUUUUGGUGGAAAAUGUGUUUUUGACGAAAAAGUGCGUUUUGCGGGUUUGACGGGAAAUUUUUUUUUCACGAUUUUGGCGGAAAAAUGCAUUUUGCGGUUUUGGCGGGAAAUGUACAUUUUUGCAUUUUUGACGGGAAAAGUUCAUUUUCGCGUUUUUGACGGAAAAUAUUUUUUGCGGUUUCGGCGAAAAAUGCGUUUUCCGGUUUUGGCGGAAAAAUGCGUUUUCUGGUUUUGGCAGAAAUUUUUUUUUUCUUUUUUUUGGCGGAAAAAUGCGUUUUUCGGUUUCGGCGAAAAAAUACGUUUUCCGGUUUAAGGCGAAAAAUGCGUUUUUCCGGUUUCGGCGGGAAUAUUGCGUUUUCCGGUUUUGGCGAGAAAAUAUAUUUUCCGGUUUUCACGGGAAAAUUGCGUUUUUCCGAUUUCAGCGGGAAAAUGCUUUUUGCGAUUUUGGCCGGAAAAUGCUUUUUUUGGGGGGGGGGGUUUGGCGGGAAUAUGCUUUUUUGAGUUUUGGCGGAAAAAUGCAUUAUUUCGGUUUUGGCCGAAAAAUGCGGUUUAAUUGGUUUGACCGAAAAGUGUGUUUUUAUGGAAAUAUGCAUUUUACGUUUUUUUGAGGAAAAACGCAUUUUGCGGUUUUGGCGAGAAAGUGUGUUUUUAAAAAAAAAUUGCAGGGAAAUGUAUUUUUCGGUUAUGGCGGAAAUAUGUAUUUGCAAAAAAAUAGAAUUUACGGUUUGAAAAUAAUAUUUUGACUUUAGAAGGUCAUUUUUGUCAUUUAUCAUUUUGGACUGAAUUAGAUGCAUCUACAUCCAAAUGCACCAUCAACACUCACCUUCAUUUGGAUGAGAAUUUGAGAUGAGUUUUUAAAAAUUCAGCUGGUUGAUUCCUCUGGAUAUAGCAUUAUAAUGCACAAAACGAACAUCAAUUUGCAUUUUUACCCAGAUGGAUCACCUGGAUGAGCAAACGAACAGCACCUAGAACGCGAUGACGAUGGUAGGGCACUGCGAGAGAGAUGGAUUCACAAACCAACACAUGCUCUCUUCAGGUGCGUUAUACCAACAAAAAAAAAACUAUUAGUUCGAGGAAAAACGAAAGAAAAAAAGGAGAGUUAUUUGCAAAUUCAUUCUUUCUUGUUUCACGAAAAUAAUAUUGAUGCCAAGUAAAUCGGAAAAUAAAAGAAGAAAAGAUUCAUUUAGGUUUGAGUUGUUUGAAUGUAUUUUCUUAAAACAAACUACUAAAUUACAUGUUUGGAUCUAUAACUUUCCUAUUAAUUUGAUAUGCUGACAAUGUUUAAGAAUCAAAGAGCAUGAUUAUUGGAAGGUUCUUAAGGUGGCGUUCUUAGCGGAAUAUAAGAACCCGUCUUUUAACUUUUAACUAAAAAAGUUAAGAAUCGGUUCUUAAAUAAGAGUUUUAAGAACCGGUUCUUAACUUUUUUUAGUUAAAAGUUAAGAGACGAGUUCUUAUAUUUCGCUAAGAACCCCACCCUAAGAACCCCCGAUAAUUAUGCUCUUAUCUUAUCUAUCUAUCUAUUUAUAUAAAAUAGAGUUUGCACUCUCCAGGUGAAGACACGUCAGAAAGUCGAGUCUUCUAGUCGUGACACGUGUCCGAGUUUUCCAAAACGCACCACUUCAUUUAAAUCACUACGCAAUCGGGUUUCGCUGGGCUUCUAUCGUCAAUUUCAUUUUUUUCAUUACGGACCUCUUUAGAUGGGCUAUACGAUUGAUUUAGUGGUGGGCUUUAACGUUCAAUAAUUUUGUCGGCUAGGAAACACAUUUUUUGGGCUAACCAAACAAAAUCUAAUAGUUUACCAUCUUCAGACUUUCGUCUUCUUCUUCUUCGAUGAGUUUUAGGGUUCGUCGUUAUAUGAACUUGACUAGGUCAAACUCCAAUGGAGGUUCUAAGUGGUUGCCCGUGUCAAACGUUCGUGUUGGAUCUCUUUGUCGGUCUCCUUCCUGGCGUUUCAUCUCCGAUUCAUUGCUUGUGAUACGUUACGGGAUUAAGUGGUUCAUCACCAUUAACAGCCUUCUUUACUCCUUGGACCCACUUCAUCCACAAUUACUAUUCAAAACUUCUCAUCUCCCUUCAAGGCGGUGCAAGUUCACCUAUAAAAAGGUCUCUCUUCUUCCCAUAAACAUCAUCCUCAACAAUCUUAUUACAAUCCAAACUUUGUUCUUAGUAAAAUGACUAACUCAUUCUUGCUGAUCUGAAGACGGGAAGUUAGCCAGAAACAUCAAACACGGUGGCGAACUCAUGGUUUUAGAUAUGCUCCUCCAGGAUGCUAAGGUUGUUCCUCCAAGUAUGCAUCUUUAUGGAGUUUUGUAGCUGGCCAUUAAGUGUUUAGUGUAACCAGUCUUUUAAGCUUCAUUCAUGUCACUGACCGGCUAACAGCAAAGGAGGAAUUCAAAGGGAAGUGAUGGUUAUGAGCUCUUUGGAAUCUAUUGUAAACUUCUACCUGUCCGGAUGUGCAGAUUUUAUACGAUCUCAAUGUUGUCAAGGUUAAGUGAUCCGGGGUUUCCGAUGCACACGUCGGUGAAGAUCCCGUCUGCGUUGACCACUCCCUGGACUGUGAUCGAGUACGACGUCUUCUGGUUCCUCUCCGUGUGCCUCUUGUUAAAAUACGCCGCCACGUGGACUUUAGGAGCGAUGAUGGGGAUGUGCGUGGUGUAGAUCGAACCCACGACGUCUGGGAUUUUAUGGACCGAUUCGAAUUUCUCCUUUGUGGAUUGGAUCUCCGAAUCCGACGGCCAGCGGAGGUACUUCGGCAUGAGGACGUCGUAGAUCGCGCGGCAGACCUCGAUGACCAGCUUGUGGCAGGUGGAGAUCCCGAGCCCGAACCGCUCCGACACGUGGCGCAGCGGAGCUCCAGUAGCUAAACGCCAGACGCAAACGCCGACGCGUUUGGGCGCUGGAAUCGCGUCGCGGAGCAUCGUGUUUUUCUUCGUAACCGUCGCGGCCACUC
This 6121-nucleotide long non-coding RNA is filed under the name Brassica napus (rape). RNAcentral describes it as "long non-coding RNA (BNAP_LNC009255)". The stretch from base 4506 to 4631 matches the Rfam family "MIR9563 microRNA precursor family". The record is from RNAcentral. Lineage: Eukaryota; Viridiplantae; Streptophyta; Magnoliopsida; Brassicales; Brassicaceae.